GACGAACGCUGGCGGCGUGCCUAAUACAUGCAAGUUGAGCGCUGAAGGUUGGUACUUGUACCAACUGGAUGAGCAGCGAACGGGUGAGUAACGCGUGGGGAAUCUGCCUUUGAGUGGGGGACAACAUUUGGAAACGAAUGCUAAUACCGCAUAAAAACUUUAAACACAAGUUUUAAGUUUGAAAGAUGCAAUUGCAUCACUCAAAGAUGAUCCCGCGUUGUAUUAGCUAGUUGGUGAGGUAAAGGCUCACCAAGGCGAUGAUACAUAGCCGACCUGAGAGGGUGAUCGGCCACAUUGGGACUGAGACACGGCCCAAACUCCUACGGGAGGCAGCAGUAGGGAAUCUUCGGCAAUGGACGAAAGUCUGACCGAGCAACGCCGCGCGAGUGAAGAAGGUUUUCGGAUCGUAAAACUCUGUUGGUAGAGAAGAACGUUGGUGAGAGUGGAAAGCUCAUCAAGUGACGGUAACUACCCAGAAAGGGACGGCUAACUACGUG
RNAcentral lists this ribosomal RNA (497 nucleotides) under uncultured bacterium. RNAcentral describes it as "partial 16S ribosomal RNA". It matches the Rfam family "Bacterial small subunit ribosomal RNA", at positions 28 to 507 of the family's 1533-position model. The record is from RNAcentral.